RNAcentral lists this ribosomal RNA (260 nucleotides) under uncultured bacterium. Its description in RNAcentral is "partial 16S ribosomal RNA". It matches the Rfam family "Bacterial small subunit ribosomal RNA", at positions 1240 to 1500 of the family's 1533-position model. The record is from RNAcentral.
CAAAGAGAAGCAAAGCCGCGAGGUAGAGCAAAUCUCAAAAAAACAUCUCAGUUCAGACUGCAGGCUGCAACUCGCCUGCACGAAGUCGGAAUUGCUAGUAAUCGUAGGUCAGCAUACUACGGUGAAUACGUUCCCGGGCCUUGUACACACCGCCCGUCAAACCAUGAGAGUUGGCAACACCCGAAGUCGGUAGUCUAACCGCAAGGAGGACGCCGCCGAAGGUGGGGUUGAUGAUUAGGGUUAAGUCGUAACAAGGUAAC